This 376-nucleotide ribosomal RNA is filed under the name Enterococcus faecium. RNAcentral's name for it is "bacterial SSU rRNA". It matches the Rfam family "Bacterial small subunit ribosomal RNA", at positions 575 to 949 of the family's 1533-position model. Lineage: Bacteria; Bacillati; Bacillota; Bacilli; Lactobacillales; Enterococcaceae. The record is from RNAcentral.
GCGGUUUCUUAAGUCUGAUGUGAAAGCCCCCGGCUCAACCGGGGAGGGUCAUUGGAAACUGGGAGACUUGAGUGCAGAAGAGGAGAGUGGAAUUCCAUGUGUAGCGGUGAAAUGCGUAGAUAUAUGGAGGAACACCAGUGGCGAAGGCGACUCUCUGGUCUGUAACUGACGCUGAGGCUCGAAAGCGUGGGGAGCAAACAGGAUUAGAUACCCUGGUAGUCCACGCCGUAAACGAUGAGUGCUAAGUGUUGGAGGGUUUCCGCCCUUCAGUGCUGCAGCUAACGCAUUAAGCACUCCGCCUGGGGAGUACGACCGCAAGGUUGAAACUCAAAGGAAUUGACGGGGGCCCGCACAAGCGGUGGAGCAUGUGGUUUAA